UAAAAAACUACUCAUCCAAUGUCCAGGAAACAAGAGAGAGAGGAGGGAGUUUGACAAAGUCACAUGAUCCCCUUCAGAAGAAGAUACAAUGGCCUAGAGAUCUCCCACAAGUCUCUUCCUCCUAAAUGUUCCACUACCUCCUGGUAGCAUCACUGUGAAGAAGAAAAAGGCUCUCUAGGAUGAAGUAAAUAGUCAACACAGUCUAGCCAAUUAGAAGACAAGUUGAUUUGCACCCACUGCUGUUGAACUGGGGUGAUUUAUUCAUCAACUUGACGCCAUCUAUUAAUAAGUCUGGUCUGAGAUUGCAUACCAAGUGAAUCUUUGACAAGUGUAUUGUCUCUUAAAUGGCAAGGAGAAGAAAAACAUGGGAGGCCAGAAAACACGCCAUCUUUCCCCUCAGCACCAAGACUCCUUCCUUCCCAUUCAGCUGCUUCUGCACAGCAACAGACUGAAGAAGAUCAUGUUGCAAAAUUUGGCACCCAUGGAGUUUAUAUUUUUCAGAAUAUUUAA
Molecule: long non-coding RNA, 510 nt
Organism: Peromyscus eremicus (cactus mouse)
Lineage: Eukaryota; Metazoa; Chordata; Mammalia; Rodentia; Cricetidae
Exons: 3
Source: RefSeq, a predicted model, not a curated record